RNAcentral lists this signal recognition particle RNA (305 nucleotides) under Nicotiana sylvestris (wood tobacco). RNAcentral describes it as "Plant signal recognition particle RNA". It matches the Rfam family "Plant signal recognition particle RNA". The record is from Rfam by way of RNAcentral. Lineage: Eukaryota; Viridiplantae; Streptophyta; Magnoliopsida; Solanales; Solanaceae.
GCCGAGCUUGGUAACGUGAGCUUGUAACCCAAGUGGGGGCAAUAAAGUGGUGGAAUGUUGGGCUGCCUCCAGAUGGUAGGGCUUUGUGGGCUAAUCUCUGGCCUGCCCUCUCCAAGCAUAGGGUUGGGCUACGGAGCCCAAGUGAAAACAUGGGCUGCAUAGCUCCUAAAGUGGGGCAGACUGCGUGAGGCUGGCUUCACAGAGCAACGAACAGCUCCCGCUCUGUGCAGUGGAAGGAUAACGGGUCAGUGUUCACAAAGUCCAACAAAAGCCUGAUGGGCUGCUCCAAUUAAACCGCCACUUUU